RNAcentral lists this non-coding RNA (24 nucleotides) under Arabidopsis thaliana (thale cress). The record is from RNAcentral. Lineage: Eukaryota; Viridiplantae; Streptophyta; Magnoliopsida; Brassicales; Brassicaceae.
AUGGUGCAUUCCUAUGUUAUUAGC